This 72-nucleotide transfer RNA is filed under the name Bos taurus (domestic cattle). It matches the Rfam family "tRNA". Rfam says of the family: Transfer RNA (tRNA) molecules are approximately 80 nucleotides in length. Their secondary structure includes four short double-helical elements and three loops (D, anti-codon, and T loops). RNAcentral also lists the same sequence under 4 other names. Lineage: Eukaryota; Metazoa; Chordata; Mammalia; Artiodactyla; Bovidae. The record is from Rfam by way of RNAcentral.
UCCCUGGUGACUCAGACAGUAAAGAAUCUGCCUGCAGUGCAGGAGACCUGGGUUCAAUCCCCAGGUGGGGAA